RNAcentral lists this ribosomal RNA (433 nucleotides) under uncultured bacterium. RNAcentral describes it as "partial 16S ribosomal RNA". It matches the Rfam family "Bacterial small subunit ribosomal RNA", at positions 29 to 507 of the family's 1533-position model. The record is from RNAcentral.
AACGAAAGAGGGAGGCAUGAGUAACACAUGCAAGUCGAACGAGACCUUCGGGUCUAGUGGCGCACGGGUGCGUAACGCGUGGGAACCUGCCCUUAGGUUCGGAAUAACUCCCCGAAAGGGGUGCUAAUACCGGAUAAUGUCUUCGGACCAAAGAUUUAUCGCCUUUGGAUGGGCCCGCGUUGGAUUAGCUAGUUGGUAGGGUAAAAGCCUACCAAGGCGACGAUCCAUAGCUGGUCUGAGAGGAUGAUCAGCCACACUGGGACUGAGACACGGCCCAGACUCCUACGGGAGGCAGCAGUGGGGAAUAUUGGACAAUGGGCGAAAGCCUGAUCCAGCAAUGCCGCGUGAGUGAUGAAGGCCUUAGGGUUGUAAAGCUCUUUUACCCGGGAUGAUAAUGACAGUACCGGGAGAAUAAGCUCCGGCUAACUCCGUG